This 270-nucleotide ribosomal RNA is filed under the name Triticum aestivum (bread wheat). RNAcentral's name for it is "partial small subunit ribosomal RNA". Lineage: Eukaryota; Viridiplantae; Streptophyta; Magnoliopsida; Poales; Poaceae. The record is from RNAcentral.
AUGCGGAUUUUUAGGUCUGAUGACAAAAGAUGGUACAUAUGCGAACACAAAUCAAAGCACAACCAUGAGCUUUCAGUUAAUUGUAUGGAAAAAUUGCAUUGGAAGUCGCACCGGCACAUCGAUAGAUACAUGAGGGUCUUGGUGAAGCAGCUGAGAGAAAACAACAUAAGCCUAAGCAAGGUUUACAGUGUUGUUGGAAAUUUUUUUGGAUCUGUGAAGGAGGUACCAUUCACGAAAAGAUCUUUGAAAAAUCUUUGUGAAAAAACUUAA